UACGUAGGGUGCGAGCGUUAAUCGGAAUUACUGGGCGUAAAGCGUGCGCAGGCGGCUUUGCAAGACAGAUGUGAAAUCCCCGGGCUCAACCUGGGAACUGCAUUUGUGACUGCAAGGCUAGAGUACGGCAGAGGGGGAUGGAAUUCCGCGUGUAGCAGUGAAAUUCGUAGAUAUGCGGAGGAACACCAAUGGCGAAGGCAAUCCCCUGGGCCUGUACUGACGCUCAUGCACGAAAGCGUGGGGAGCAAACAGG
Molecule: ribosomal RNA, 253 nt
Filed under: uncultured bacterium
Lineage: Bacteria
Description: partial 16S ribosomal RNA
Rfam family: Bacterial small subunit ribosomal RNA
Source: RNAcentral